AAACAUUUGUAGAUACCUGCUCAUCCAACAUCUGUUCCAAAAUCAUGAGAGGUCGUUCUACUGUUCUGGGAAGGCUUUACACCGGAUGUUGGGACAUUGCUGUGAGGAUUUGAUUGCAUUCAGCUACAAGAGCAUUAGAGAGGUUCAGGUACUGAUGUUGGGUGAUUAAUGUGACUCAUUCUGCAUCACAAGUGCCAUUCCAACCCAUCCUAAAAGCAUUGGACGGUGCUCCAUCACUUCACAGCUCAAUGCUGUGGGGGCUUUACACCCCUCCAGACGAUGCUUGGCCUUAGGCAUGGUGACCCAUGGUGGCUCAUGCCUCUCCAGAUCAUCUCACUUUAUCACCAAUGUUUUCCAUUAAUGUGUGCAGACUUUUGGACAUAGGAUCAGUUGCCUGGAGAGGGAUUGAGCCGAGUCCUGGAUUCCACAGCAUUCUGAAUGGAGAUUCGCCUUUGAAAUGUCCACUCCUAAUCUGGGAAAGUGACCCAUGGUGUAUGCAGGACAUAAGGUACACAGAUAAGUGUGGUUUUCCAGGCAUGAACUAGUCCUAAUCUUGUACUAGAUUUCGGUGUCUAAGGAAAAUUAGCAUCAGAACGUCCUUUAGGCUGCAAAACAGGCACCUGGUUGAAACCAGGCCUAAAUGUGCAUCUAAUUUUUCACCCAGGAAGCCCUACAUGUGUGAUCUGGCCCUGAGCUCUGAGCUCUGAGACUGAAACCUCCUGUGGCCCCAUCAGCUGUGUUUUUCAUCACUGAAGAUAUGCUGUGCCCAUCUGCUAAUCCUGGGAGUGCGUGUAGGCUGCUAGUCACUCUGCUGUAUGGGCUGGAGUCUUAUUUGGAUGCUACAGAGGACAGCAGCUUUCUACAAGACAUGCUUAUGGGCAAUAGCCUACAUGUGCUCAUCAAGCUCCAUGACAGGCUUCAGAGGUUUGGAGCUCAGCGGCCGGCUCCGUUCCAGGACAACGCUGAGGAUCUGGCCCGAGAGGUGAGUACUCUCCAGAGGAGAGUCAUUGUGUUUG
This is a long non-coding RNA of Pygocentrus nattereri (red-bellied piranha), 1016 nucleotides long. The record is from Ensembl. Lineage: Eukaryota; Metazoa; Chordata; Actinopteri; Characiformes; Serrasalmidae.